AUUGUAAUACUAAUAAUUGACGUCCAAUAAAACUACACAAAUUCCUACAAACAAUUUAUAUGAGUGCCCGUUUUCUCUCACUGUGACUAUCAGUAGAUAUUAACAAGCUCUUAAUUUUUCUGAAUAUUAUGAGAAAAAAAAAUCUUAUUUGAGUUUACAUUUCCCUAAUUACUUUUCAUGUAUUAGGAAGUAUUUUUAUUUCUUCCAAGAAUUUCUAUUUUUAUCCUUCCUCUUUUUCUAUUGGAGUGUCUUGUGCUUUACUUGUUGAUUUAAAGAAAUCUUUAUUUGGACAUUAAAUCUUUGAAUUGUAUGUUGUAAAUAUUACUCAUAGCUUGUGACAAGCAUAUUUAGUGACUUGCAUAAACAAAUUUAGUUUGUGCUAUCAUUGAAUGACAUUUUCAACAGAUCUGUUCACCAUCCUUUCCUUAAAAUAUAAUUCAUAUUCUAAGCAUUACAGGACAGUAGCUUAUUUUAUAUACAUGUUCAGACCAAAGGGCUUCCAUAAUUUAUUUUUUAGGAUUAUUGAUCCUUUUUUGGAAUCACCUGAAAUCUAUUCUUUAGAGUCAACAUCCCAGUUCAUAGAUGAGAUAGAGGAAGAACUUCUCCCUAGCCUAAAGAAAAUUUAGUUACAAAUACACAUCCCUAAUAAUUGCUCUCCAAACUGGAUAACAUCUUGGCCCAACUCCACCUGGGCCCAGUUGUCGAUCCAAAAACUACCGGGUUCUUUGACAAUGCAUUUUCCAAAUCAAAUUGCUACACCCUCCUCCCCUUCCAGAGCUGUCCUGCCCAAGUGAUCACGAGAGUGUCUAUUGCAUAGAUAGUUCUCUGUUCUUCUGCCUCCCUAUUAAUUAACUCCCUAUUAAUUCAAUUCCAUACUCCCAUUACAAUUAAAACCCACUCUAAUUUGUGUCCACACAGCCUGGGGCACUACUUCCACACCAAAGCCUACCCUGCCUCAGAUUCUAUCUAAGAAAUGACAAAAGUGGGUCAAGCCAGGUUCUGCACAUGUUACCUGAUUGUUAACAGCGUGGCUUGUGGCAUUUCCAAAAAUUGGUCCCAGUUCAUGUUUUCUCUUUUCUCUUCUCUUCUCUUCUCUCUUUUCUUUCUUUCUUCUUUUCACAGACAACCCAGUCUGUGACUCAUGACUUCCCAUAUAUCACUGACCAAGCAAUCAAAAUGCGAGUUCUACAGUAGUCUACAAAUAAGAGCCAAGCUGAGCCACCAGAGCUCCAGUAGAGAAAACAUAACAAAACCAGAUACACCACGCAAAAUUCCCCCUACAUGCCUAUCUAAAUCUCUUCUUUUGCUAUAUUGAAAAAAAACACUUCUAUAUCUUGUAUUUUUAGGAGGUUGCUACAACUCCACUCUUGGACUCAUAAAAUUUGUGUUGGUCAUUUUAUGUACUUUUGGAGACAAUAUUGGAAACUCGUGGGCAAAAUAACUAACUUUUAGCACAUAUUUUCUGUGAAAAUUCACAUUUUUGUUUCAACACUGUAGCUUAUAUCACAUAUGGGGAAUGUUUCAAUUGACAUUAACCAUUGUUUUCCCUUGAUGCUCUAAGUGUCAAAAUUUGUCCACUAAAAGCCCUGUUUUCAGGCUGAGCAAAUUGUCCAUUUUAUCUCUAACCCAGAAACUACUGAGUUUCCUUGUUCCUGAAAACAAAAUGUUUCCGGAUGAUCUUUAUUUUUCAUGUGCCAAGAUAUUGAACCAAUUAUUCUCCAAGUGGAUGUCAAGAGAGGGUGUUAGACUCCAAAUCUUGGCACUAGUGAAGCAUAAAUCCUGAUGUUAGCCAAGUGACC
Equus caballus (horse) is the source of this 1799-nucleotide long non-coding RNA. NCBI's taxonomy places the organism in Eukaryota, Metazoa, Chordata, Mammalia, Perissodactyla, Equidae. The record is from Ensembl.